GGGCGCUUAGCUCAGCCUGGUUAGAGCGCUUCCCUUACAAGGAAGAGGUCGUUGGUUCGAAUCCAUCAGUGCCCA
RNAcentral lists this transfer RNA (75 nucleotides) under Acidimicrobiia bacterium. RNAcentral's name for it is "tRNA-Val". It matches the Rfam family "tRNA". Rfam says of the family: Transfer RNA (tRNA) molecules are approximately 80 nucleotides in length. Their secondary structure includes four short double-helical elements and three loops (D, anti-codon, and T loops). Lineage: Bacteria; Bacillati; Actinomycetota; Acidimicrobiia. The record is from RNAcentral.